Molecule: unclassified non-coding RNA, 11646 nt
Filed under: Actinia tenebrosa (Australian red waratah sea anemone)
Lineage: Eukaryota; Metazoa; Cnidaria; Anthozoa; Actiniaria; Actiniidae
Description: uncharacterized LOC116291804, transcript variant X4
Source: RNAcentral
UAAGAAAACUAAAUGUAGCCUCCUUCGAGAAAGAUAGACGGAUUUUACACCAUAUUUUACAAUGAUUGGGAAGAUAGGCAGAGAUUGUUGGAUUUGUUUGACGCUUGUGUUUAAUUUCUUAUUACUACGCUAGUUUAUCAAUGUUAUCUUAUUACGCUAAACACUGGAAGGAUUUCAAUGAGGCCACAGAAUCAUCAACUUGAAAAGAACCCGAAUGCCCCGCGUAAAGUGCACUCGCGUUUGGCAUUGGCGUUUAUCAGGGAUUUUCGUGCCAAAAGGAACAGUGUUUGGAUAUUAUUGAUUUUACUACUCGCCCAAGUGCUUUGUUCUAAAGCUACUUUAAAGCAAGACGCUUCGAGUUGUUCGCAAAUAGGACGACCAGAAUCCAAUGUCACUCUUAUGAAUGGACUUGACAAUCCCAAAGUACAUCGCUUCAUUCUGGGCCAUGUUAAAACACUUGAAGACUGCGUGCAAAUCGCCUGUAAACGAGAAAACAUCUCUCUAGCUUAUAUCUCGAGGUUUGACUGCUUUGGGAUUUCGUGUGAUGGAGAAGAAGAGACGUGUUGGCUUCUUCCAAGUUUUCAAUACCCGACACUCGUCUUUGCAAGAUUACAAAGAGGAAUCCCCAAAGUACACAAUACAACGAUAAACAAAGCAGGAAAGCUUUCCAAGGUACAUGCAAAACAAAAGCACGAGAAAAAGACAAGGAAUAUUGACGAGAAUCAGCGAAAGGGUUCGUCGUCGAAUGAAGGAUUUUCCUCGUCAUUAAAUUUUAAAAGACGUUCAAACGAUGCAGAGGUGAUAUCAACAUUGUCAUCAAGAACGCGAUCAAGGACAAAUGGUAUCCCUUUAGUUAAGGGUAAACAUGAACUUUCGCAAAGGUCUGUUGGUGAAAGACCUUUUCUUGAACUUCCUUAUUUGUGGAAAAGAAGAAGAAAAGCGAACCAAAGGAUUCGAAGAGAUGUGAUCAAACAUGAAAGUAUUUUAGGGGGACAUUUUGCAAUUAGAAACUAUGAUGCAGAAAAUGGACGAAAUAGAAGGGAUUCUUAUUUUGAUAAAAACAUUAAACCAUUGGAUAGGCAAAACCGAGAAAUGCAAGACGAUUUGCCUCGUGAAAAAGAAGAUGAAGCUAUGCUUUCUGAUAGUGAUAUGGAAUCCAGUCAAACUGUUUAUUCAGGUUCGGGAAAUGAAGAAAUAAAUAACGAUAUACAAAAUAAUAAUGGAAGAAUAGAAUCCAGUCAAACUAGUUUGUCUGGUUCAGGAAGUGACGUCAGGAUGAAGAGCCAGGAAGUGCUCCAACGUUACAAGCGCAACUUUGAUGAUGAGGAUGAGGAUGAUGAUAGUCAUUCGUCGGAUGAUUCAUUGCCAUUCCUUGGAGAAAAUAAAAUGAAAGACGAACAACAAGAUAAUGAAUUGCAACGUUAUAAGCGCAAACUUGACGAUGAUGAUGAUGAUGUAUCAUCAGCUGAUGUCUGGUCUUCAGGGAAUGGAAUAUCCCAUCCACCCAGCGAUCCUUAUUCGGGGUAUAACGACCAAAACGAAGACAGCGAGGAAGGGAAUUCUUUAAGGAGGUACAAGCGAAAGGCAGUAGAGCCAGAAGAAAUGGACGAGUUGAGUAAAGCCUUGUCUUCGGCGUCACCCUCAAAACGUUCUUUGGAAGAAGAAGAAGAACUAGGGUCUGGGGUACCAGACAGGACUAGAUCUACAACCAAGAAUAUACAGUCAUCAUCAUCUUCGCCAUCGACAUUAUCAUCAUCUUCAUCGCCGUCAUCUUCAUCAACAUUGGCACCAUCAUCAUCAACAGCAACGUCAUCGAUAGCAACAUCAUCGUCAUCACCAUCACCAUCCACAGAUCAAUCGCAGGUAAAAUCAGAGAACAACUCUAAGAAAUCUAAGAAGAACAUUUCUUUGCCAGUGAAGAACGCGGAUGCUUCUCCUCAAGAAACGUCUUCAUCAUCGUCAGCAUCCAUAUCAAUAUCAUCUCUACCUCCUCCACCUCCUCCACCACCUCCUUCAUCAACAUCUUCAUCAUCUUCAAUUUCUGUUACAACGUCUUCAACAGGAUCUUUGCCAGUUUCACAAUCAUCACAAACCUCGACAACCAAAGUGUCAUCUUCUUCCACUACAUUUCCAAAGUCUUUGGAUUCAAAGAAGAAAGAUGCCCCGGAAAAACCUGUUAAACUGGUUUCUUUGACUAAAAAAGGCUCGAUCAAGAUACAUCAGGGAACAUUGAAUAAAGACACGAAGAAAUCCUCAGCAGUCCCCCCUCAGGAAUCGACGUCAUCUUCAUCUUCUACAUCCAUAACGAUAUCCCCGUUACCGUUACCGUUACCGCUCCCGCCACCAUCGUCGUCAUCAACAUCCACUUCCAGUACAUCCGUUUCACAGUCAUCUUCAUCAUCGACUAAAGUUUCCGUCUCUACGUCCACUUUUCCAAAAGUAAAAUCAUCAAAGACUAACGAUGCAUCGAAAAAACAUGUCAAAAAGACUACAAAGAAAUCCUCAGCAGUCCCCCCUCAGGAAUCAACAUCAUCAACAUCUUCUACAUCCAUAUCGAUAUCCCCUAUACCUCUGCCACUCCCACCAUUACCACCACCGUCAUCAUCAUCAUCAUCAUCAUCCACCACGUCAACUACACAGUCAUCUUCAUCAUCCACAAAAGUUUCCGUCUCUACCUCCUCUUUCCCCAAAGUAAAAUCAUCAAAGACUAACGAUGCAUCGAAAAAACAUGUCAAAAUGGCUGCUGCAUCGUCAUCCAAGUCACUGAAAUCUUCAUCUUCUAAAACUAAAGCUGCAAAAUCACGAAGUACUUACUCUAUUUCUCCUAAGAAAGAAAAAUCCUUUCGUGAAAAAGCUAAACAAAAGAAACAGAGUACGAAAACUUUGUUGAAAGAAAAAAGAAAUAAACAAGAAAAUAAGAAAAAAAUUGCGAAAGAAAAAGUGGAUAGACCAACACAAAAGCAGAAAAGACAAGCACCUUACGAAAUUGGUUUGAGAAACAGAAUGCGUAUUUCAAGUUAUAAUCAAGCUACGAGGAGUAAUAUAAGGCCAGUAUUUGCCAGUACUGUUGGAUACAAUCGAGCAAAAAUGGGCCAAGGAACUCAAUAUAAACCCCAGCAAGAGAGUGGACCAUUUAGCGCACCUAGUUAUCAAUACAAACAAAUCAAUGCUUAUAGACUUCAAGGAAGAAAUAACGCGAUGACUUCAAGUAUUCAACCUGUAGUCAGUAGUUUUGGUGCUCAAUCUGCGCAGCUAUAUGUUGCAUUAAGGACCCAUCUUCCUCUUAGGAGCGUCAUCCCAGGGCCGUCCGUACACUUUGGCUUUUCUCAUGAUCAACCACGAUCUUUUAUCCCUCCUACAAACUACGCGAAACCAAAUGGUGUCAGACCAGGCUAUCAGCAGAUUCGAUUUCCAGGAAGAACAUACAGACCUGCGUAUGGUGCACAACCAACCAUCCCUGAUAGAUUCCAGGACCACGGUGGUAGCGUCCUUGCUGCUCAGAUGAAGUCACUUAAAUCUCAAUAUAAAAAUAUGAAAUAUACUCCUACGAGGCCAGAUGAAGAAAAGACAAACGUUGGACAAGGUUUUGAAGGAAAGUCAUGUAGCUUUCCACUAGGCAUGCAGGAUGGUACCAUCAAAGAUGAGCAGCUGUCAUCGUCUAGUGACUAUUCGAUGUAUCACUCUGCAGCGAGAGGAAGACUUGGAAAUACUCCAAAACAAAAUGGUUUUGCGGGUGCAUGGUGCACUGGGACCAAGCACAUCGAUAGGGCCCAGUACCUCCAGAUUGACCUUGGUCAGCGCAGACGAGUAUGUCGCGUGGCUACUCAGGGCAUGCCAGAGUUUCCAACAUGGGUCAAAGAAUAUACUUUGGAAUUUAGUAACAACGGCCAUAUAUGGGCAGACUAUACUGAAGAGGGACAUGAAAAGCUUUUCGAUGGCAAUACAGACAGUACUACACCUGUCAGUCACUCUCUAAAGCAGCCAAUCACAGCUCGGUUUAUUCGCUUCAAACCUCAAUCCUGGAACGGUCCAAACAUAUGCAUGCGAGCCGAGCUCUACACUUCCACAGAUCCCGGAUUGAAACCACGUGAUCGAAUUUCAAAGCAAGGAUUGGUCGUUUAUCUGAACUUUGAUAAGAGCAAGGAAACAUCUACUGAUGAUAGGCGCACUGAAAUAUCUCGAGCCCCUGGCGUCUGUGGUGACGUAGCAAGCCUACGUGACGGGAAGACCAUCUUGUUAGAUGGGCGAAAAAUCCAGCCUAAGCCACGUGAUGCAAUCACCAUAGCAGCGUGGAUCCGAUUGGACAACACAAGUGGACAGCAUUCUAUCUUCGAUACUGUUGGAGGUCACAGUAGUCAUGGCAGCGGGCAGUAUCACUUUGAAGUUAGCGAUGGAAAACUGCGAUGGUACCACCGUAACGAGACGGCUAACCAGAUCUUUAGUGUAGAAUCAGACGCAGUCGUCUCAGAAAACACGUGGACACACGUGGCAGGUACCUACGACUCUCAUACGGGGAUUUCCAAGGUCUAUAUCGAUGGUCACGUGAACGGGCAGGCUCAAGGCAGCGGUUUGUUGUCUCAGGACUGGGACAGUCACGUGGGCAUUGGAACACACAAAGAUUCAAGGUUUAUUAAUGGAUUAUUAGAUGAAUUUAGAAUAUAUGACUACGCAAUGGAAGAACCGGAGAUAAAGAAACUGAUGACACUAUGCAAUUAUGCAAAAAGUUGUGGGGGGUCGUUAGAUGCGUCAUCAGGUGUCAUAGCAUCACCCAAUUGGCCAAGCGGUUACAAAGACGCAAAGACUUGCAUAUGGAAAAUAACGGUUGACAAAACAGACAAAAUUGCGUUGAAUUUCGAGACGUUUGGUCUUCAAGAGGAUGGCAACUGUGACAAGUCUAGAUUAGUAAUCAAAGAUGGAGAAGACGAGGCUGCGAAAGAGAUCGGGGAAUUCUGUGGUUUGAACAGCCCGAGGUUAAUGAGAUCAACAGGAAAUCACAUGUGGCUUCAGUUCACAAGCACCCCAGAGGGGGAGGGCAAAGGAUUUCGUUUGACAUAUCAAACAGAAAAAAAUCGUCAAACCAAGAAAGAAGAACAACCACGUGCUCCCGACCAAAACAUGAAAUGUUCUGCGUCCACACCAGAGUACAACGUCACCCUGAGCGGUGGAAUCAAAGCAGGCUCAUUCAGCGAAGCGCUCGGCGUCAAGACCUUAGACAUGUGCAUGAGACAAUGUUGUUUGAAGGAGUCUUGCAGCCUGGCUUUCAUGAUCAGUGACAGCUGCUACCUCGUAAACUGCAAGGACGAGGAAUCCUGCAAGACCAAAAGAGCACGACCCUCUGGCAUGAACCCCACCAUUGUGUACAUCACACACCUAAAAGAAGAGCCACACUCGGGCCUCCCUGAAGAAGGUACCUCACUCGACAAUCCCCGUCCCAUCCCCCCUGCGUCCCAGUGUCACCACACUGACGUCAGCUACAACUUCACUCUGGUUGGUGGAAUAAAGGCGGGAAAAUUCAACACCUUUGGACACAUGAGUAGUAUAGACGACUGCAUACGUCACUGUUGCCAUGACGAUAAGUGUGACGUGGUAUUCAUGAUUCAGAACAACUGCUAUAAUGUGGAGUGUGCGAAUAAUCGUGGCUGCCAGAUGAAGAAAGCCAAGCCAAGCCCGUAUAACCCUACUUUAGUGUAUGUUUACAGAGGAGGUUCCAAACCUAUUGCAGAGCCGGUCAAGAAGUUCAACAGGCCUGCUCGGUUUUCCUGUCACAAUUACCAGGUGUCCAACACAUUACAAAAUGUCACUCUGGUGGGAGGCAUCAAGUCUGGCACGUUCACGGACAAGGGUGUUGUCAACGACAUCGAUGAGUGUAAAGCGUUUUGUUGCGCCGAAGACUCGUGUAAUGUGGCGUUCCUUAUCAGGACAAACUGCUUUCUUGUCGCGUGUAAGGAUUAUGAUUCUUGUAAAGUCAAGCCAGCCAUGUCGGAUUAUUAUCGUCCGAAACUGGCUUACGUUAACUGGCACCCCCCGGACGAGGAAGUCAGUCCGUAUGACAAGUUCGCAUCUCUGGGGUGUUGGCGAGAUACAGAGUCGUUUGCAAUCCCGUCCCUCGAAGGCACUGACCCGCGGUUAUCAGAAUCCUACAGGCUGAGAGCUAAACCAAUCGAUACAUGCGCUAGUGUGGCGUUCAAGCAUGGAUACAAAGUCUUUGGCAUUCAUAGAGGAGGUGCAUGUUUCAGUGGACCCAAAGCAGAUCAAACGUUCAAUAUAUUCGGAGAGUCAGCAGAUUGUAAAAGUGGCAGGGGAGGGGUGGGGGCAACUGAUGUCUAUCGCCUUGAUCACGAUGGCAAAUAUUCAAAAUUAGGAUGUUGGCGAGACACCCAACAUCGAGCACUCAAAAAACUCGAGCACACAAACCCAAGACUGAACGAUUUCUAUCAGACUCGCACCAGUCCUGUCGCCAAGUGCGCAGAGGUUGCUAAGCAACAAGGGUAUCCUGUUUUUGCCAUACAAGACGGCGGCGAAUGUUUGAGUGGGCCGACAGCCGAGGACGAGUUUAAUAAAUAUGGUGUGUCACGUGACUGCCGUGGAAGGCUUGGGGGUGCUUACGCCAACAGUGUAUAUAAACUGAUAGGGAAUUUUGAUAUUCAGAACGAUGAGUUGGACAAUAGCUCCAGUACGAUGAACACGACAGAGAACUCCUCAAACAAAGACAGCAUGUCCAAGCCUGAGGGGGGAACAAAACAAGUUAUUGGUGACGACUUACCAUCCAAGACAGGCACCACAAGCAUGAGGGAAGACUUCGUAACAUUGAAAAAUGGAAAACCGAAAAGAAUCGUCUACAUGGCUGGAAAAGUUCAGUACAAUGUUACCUUGAAGUAUGGGAUUAAAUCAGGAAAAUUCAUGGACGAAGGUCAGGUUUCAAAUAUCAGUCAGUGCAUCAGUAGAUGUGGUAGACAACCAGACUGCGAUCUCGCCUUUAUGCUGGGCAAGCAGUGCUUUGCGGUCAGCUGUAGCUCUAAAGCACUUUGUAUAACCAAGCCUGCAUUUUCGCUCUUCUACAAUCCUGUAAUUGUCUUUGUGACCCACAGAAAGAUUUACGAUACCGUCAAAUCGCAACAAAGACGGUGUCACGUGAGUGCUGUUCAGAAUAACGUCACUCUAGUUGGCGGAAUCAACGCUGGCAAAUUCAUGGAACUGAAAACUGACAUGAAUAGUGAAGCUGACAUGAAUGGUGAAACUGACAUGAAUACUUGUAUCAAGUGGUGUUGCGCCAAACCAACAUGUGAUGUUGCGUUCAAGCUGGAGGGAGUAUGUUACGCUGUCAGUUGUAUCAGUAAUAACCUCUGUAAGACCAGGCCUGCAAGGAAUGCUGAGAGGUACAAUCCCCAGAUCGCUUAUGUCUAUCAUGACCGAAAAGGACUAGACCGAGUACAAGCCAAUAUUACCGUAACUAACGUGAAUACGCAUGACCAGCAUGAGACAAAAACUAGAGUAGAACAAGAGCAUGCAAAGAAAACGACUGACAAAGCUGACGUUAGUUUCAUCAAUGACAAACACAGGAACGCUGGGACUGAGGGCUUCGUUCAAACCUCUACUGCAAGACAACACACGAACCAAAAUACGGCUCACAGGAUACUUGACGAUAAGAUUAAUAACAAUAGCAAUUAUGGUGGUAGACGAAAGCCUACUGCAGGACAUAGCCAAAAUGACGAGAAGAACUACAGUACCAAAGUCAAACAUCUUAAUGGUGAAACUAAUAACAAUAUUUACGACAGUAACAAAGGCAAGGAGGUCGGUGUUGCCGACCAUGGGUCGAUGGUGGGGACGAAUAGUUAUCGAUUUAGUGACGUAAACAAUGGCAAUGGCAACAGCAUGAAAAAUACGAAAAUCAAACAGGAAAAUGAGGACACCUAUCGACAAAGAAUAUUGAAUGAUUUUGUAAUGGCUGGUGAAACAAUGAACCAGAACAAUGACAAAAUUGACCAAUCACAGCCGGUUAUCAAACAGGGUUUGAUGAAUACGGCGGCUAAUCAAACUGACCAAUCACAGCCCAUUAUCAAACAAGGUUUAAAGAAAACAAACGGCCAACCUGACCAAUCGCAUUACUUUUUCAAUGGAGGUUUAACGAAGAUAUCUCCCAUAAACGUAAAUAAGGACGAGGAAAGUCCCACUUAUGUCAAAUCAAAUGGCGCCAAAGAAACCAACUUCAGCAUCCUUUCACCGUCAGCAGCAGAUAAAAACCAGAUGUCUGAACGUAAAAACACCAACAUCUCUAGUUACUUCACAACCAUAAGAAAGAACAAACAAAGAAAAGUAGGAAAUAUGAAACAGGUGAAGCUGGUGCCUUGGGGACAGAACAGCAGAAAUGUUGGUAUUAAACCUUUGAAGCAUCUUUCUUUCUUCAACAACUUUAAUGCUGGCAUUAAAACUGCGCAAAAACACAAACAUCCCCUUGGAUUGGUAGCUAUGGGGCCCGACAGUACAAAUAUCUUGAAACAUGUCGCUUCUUUACAAAACAAAGGCGUCAACAUUAAGAUAAAACAAGGUCGUCACAACAAUGUGGGUCUUGUGGCUUUAGGACCUAAUAGCGGUAAUGUCGUCAUUAAACAUUUGAAUCUCAAGAGUUUCCACAUAAAUCAGGCUUCUUUUCCUGGACGUGUUGUCUCUAUCAAUGGUCAUGGACUUCAUAAAAUCCAACCGUUAACUAACAAUGACGCUUCCUUGACAACCAAUCAACAAACGGGACGAAAACAAACUGCAGUUUCAUUGGUCAAUCCUGGACGACAUCCAGCACAGAAAAGUUUGUCUAAGUAUAUUCAUGUUCUCAAUGCUCUUUUAGAAUCGAGCAAUACCAGUAUCCAUGGUGAUAGCAGUUCCAACGGAAGCGUGUGUUGGGAUGGUGACGUAUUGUACAACCAGACUCUGAUUGGUGGAAUCAAUGCUGGGGUGUUUACAGACAAUGGCAAGACCACCACCAUGGAUCUGUGUAUGCAGUCAUGUUGUAAGCAGCCCGCGUGUGACCUCGCCUUCAUGAUUGAAGAUGAUUGCUAUUCUGUUGCUUGUACCAGUCCCUCCUCGUGCAAGACCCGAGCUGCUCGUCCCACACAGUUCUACCCGAGAAUCUCGUUUAGAAACAAGUUCAAAGAUAUGAUGUCAAAAGAAACUUCAGGCUUAGCGUCCGGGACCUCAGCACCACAAGAACCAUCGACCCAGUCUCCCACACAUGCAGCUGCCUCCUCGGCCAAAGUGACAACAACAGUUGCACCACGUGUCCAGCCCACGCUAAAAGUACAACACUCAUGUUCUGCCACGCCCAUCAAGUACAACGUCACGCUCCGAAUGGGUCUUCACUCGGGACUGUUCACCAAGAUGGGGCGAGUAGAUUCCAUGGAUGAUUGUAUCGAGUUGAACUGCAAGCAGCCCAAGGCGGACGUGGCAUUCAUGAUGGGUACCCAUUGCUAUGCGGUCCAGUGUUACAGCGAGGAACUGUGCAAGACCGAGCCUGUUUUUGCCACGAGUUUCUCGUUUCUGAAUCUGAAGCCAGCGGUGUCGUUUUUAAAGAAGAACCCAGGAUCCACAGGACAUGAUCUUGCUUUGCGUGAAAAUCCUCGAGAGACUUGCCUUGAAAGCACGAUUACUUAUGACGUAACAUUACGUGGUGGAAUACACGCAGGCAAGUUCACUGAAAGGCCUCACGUGAACACUAUGCGUAAAUGUAUAAGAGAAUGUUGUGAUGCUGAUUCAUGCGACCUGGCCUUCAUGUUCGGUGAUCGCUGUUAUUCAGUCACGUGCAAGAGUGAGAAGAGUUGCCAGGCGGUACUGGCCAAACCUACCAGCCUUAAGCCGAGAAUAUCAUACAUGUCAAGAACCUCACCAAACAACGAUGGCGUGAGUCUGGCCGAGUCACAAGAGGUUCAUCCAAAAUGCCAUGCAGACGAUAUUUCUAAAUCCUUGAUUGCGAGGAACAAAACCCUUGCUGGAGGUCUUGAGGCUGGUACCUUUAGAUUCCUGGGCAAAGUCAAGUCCAUGGGUUUCUGCAUGCGCAUGUGCUGUGCUCGUCCAAGAUGUGACGUGGCGUACCUGAUCGACAAGAACUGUUUCUCCAUCACUUGUUUUUCUCCUGCACUUUGUAAAAUCACUUCUGACCAUUCCACUGCUAAUGGCGAUGUGGAGAUAUCAGCCAUGCUGAAAUCGGUCAAGAAAGAGGAAUUACCUGAUGAAGCUCAUUCUGUAGUGGUAUACAUCAUUGUCGGUACUCUCAUGUUUGCUGCGGGACUCGGUGGCAUUGUCUGGGCCGUCUGCAUGUUUCUAAGAAGACAUCGAUUAAGACAGCGCCACCGUGCAAGAUCACCAUCAGAUGGAUAAUUAUCCAUUCAUUUGCCUUGCAUGAUUGGAAGCAUUCAAUUGAACCUUGGUGCACGGAAAGUGGAGAGUGCUUUAAGUUUUUCCUCACAGACAGCAAUCAUAGGCAAGUCCAUUUGUCAAAGGAAGAAGUUGCAACACUAUAAUCUUCUACCACAUGAUUUUUUAUAUUUCUCUCAAAAUAAUUAAAUACUUCCUCUGCUGGAUAGUGCCCAACGCAGAAGUCAGCCAAUAUGGGUGUACGUACUUAAGGGUUACUGAAGGCCCAUUUUACUAGACAGGGUAAGACAUAUCUUUCCAGAAUGUCUCCUACAGGACCAAGUGGUGCCAAAUGGUAACUUACUUCUAAAAUAAGCUAUUUUUUCACUAAAAAAUUCUAAAAUCAAAAAAAAAAAACUUCAUUAAGAGUUAGUUUAUGAUUGGUGAGACACAUACAAAUAUUUUAGCAAUCAUUUUUUAUUUCGAUAAGACAUCAUUCCUUAUUAGAAUGUAAUACAUAGCAGGUUAAUUCUCACUAUGUUAGAGUGAUUCAUUUACCCCUUGAAGUCUAAAUCAAUCUGUUCACAGGUAGCCCAAGCUUGGUUUCUGUGGUGUCAUGUUAUAAGGAAAUGUAUGGGGAUUCAUCAAAAAUUUCAAUAAAAUCAUUGAAACAUGAAAUAAAGCCUCAAAAUAUUACCCGAUCAUUUUGAAGUAGUACUUCUUUCGCUCUGUGUGGUUAUUUUUUGAAUAUAGCCGUUUAAAACGUUUCAAUGAUUUUAUUGAAAUUUUUGAUGAAUCCCCAUAUAUUUCCUUAUAACAGGACACCACAGAAACCAAGCUUGGGCUACCUGUGGUCUGCUCUGACACAAAAACCGCUAAAUAAAGUGGAAAAUGUUUUGACCUCCGCCUGAGUUUGUUCCAAUAUCGUGUUGGUUGGUUACUUCUAGCAGGAGUAAUCACACAUGUGUAUAGCAGUACACGAGCUUUAAUCAAGACUCAGUAAUGACUAACNAAGGUUACNUUGAUAACCGGAUAUAUGCAUACGUCAUAUGUGUACAUAUAAGAUUACAUAAUGCAACAGAGUUCUUUCUCCCUCACCUCUUGUUAUUCAUUUAUUCAUAGGAAAACAGAAUAGGUAUAGACUAAUGCCUAGUAGAACAAUAUCAAUUCCAAGGGUUAAAUAAAUUCACUCUAUAAUUCACUAAUAUCACAGUAAGCCCUUAUAUUCACUAGCGAUACAAGAACAAGCGAUACCAUUUACAACAGAAUUUGCAGUGGAGUUCCAUUAUCUCAAAUCUCCUUGAG